This 101-nucleotide small nuclear RNA is filed under the name Moschus moschiferus (Siberian musk deer). Lineage: Eukaryota; Metazoa; Chordata; Mammalia; Artiodactyla; Moschidae. The record is from RNAcentral.
AUACCAAAAUUGGAACACAUACCAAAAUUGGAACCUUGCAGAGAUUAGCAUGGCCCCUGAGCAAGGAUGACAUGUAAAUUCAUGAAGCGUUUUGUGUUUUC